Molecule: ribosomal RNA, 619 nt
Filed under: Staphylococcus epidermidis
Lineage: Bacteria; Bacillati; Bacillota; Bacilli; Caryophanales; Staphylococcaceae
Description: bacterial SSU rRNA
Rfam family: Bacterial small subunit ribosomal RNA
Source: RNAcentral
AGCGAACAGACGAGGAGCUUGCUCCUCUGACGUUAGCGGCGGACGGGUGAGUAACACGUGGAUAACCUACCUAUAAGACUGGGAUAACUUCGGGAAACCGGAGCUAAUACCGGAUAAUAUAUUGAACCGCAUGGUUCAAUAGUGAAAGACGGUUUUGCUGUCACUUAUAGAUGGAUCCGCGCCGCAUUAGCUAGUUGGUAAGGUAACGGCUUACCAAGGCAACGAUGCGUAGCCGACCUGAGAGGGUGAUCGGCCACACUGGAACUGAGACACGGUCCAGACUCCUACGGGAGGCAGCAGUAGGGAAUCUUCCGCAAUGGGCGAAAGCCUGACGGAGCAACGCCGCGUGAGUGAUGAAGGUCUUCGGAUCGUAAAACUCUGUUAUUAGGGAAGAACAAAUGUGUAAGUAACUAUGCACGUCUUGACGGUACCUAAUCAGAAAGCCACGGCUAACUACGUGCCAGCAGCCGCGGUAAUACGUAGGUGGCAAGCGUUAUCCGGAAUUAUUGGGCGUAAAGCGCGCGUAGGCGGUUUUUUAAGUCUGAUGUGAAAGCCCACGGCUCAACCGUGGAGGGUCAUUGGAAACUGGAAAACUUGAGUGCAGAAGAGGAAAGUGGAA